Molecule: unclassified non-coding RNA, 623 nt
Filed under: Hevea brasiliensis (rubber tree)
Lineage: Eukaryota; Viridiplantae; Streptophyta; Magnoliopsida; Malpighiales; Euphorbiaceae
Source: RNAcentral
GCACCAUAGACUUCAUUUUUGGUAAUGCAGCAGUUGUAUUUCAAAAUUGCAUAAUUUAUGUGAGGAAGCCUUUGAAUGGUCAAGCAAAUAUGAUCACGGCACAAGCCCGUAAUGACCCUUUCCAAAACACUGGAAUUGCAAUCCACAAUUCGCAAAUUUUGCCCGCACCGGACCUGAAACCGGUGGCUGGUGCAUUUCAGACAUACUUAGGGAGGCCAUGGAUGCAGUACUCUCGAACGGUGGUUCUUAAGACUUACCUUGAUGGUUUCAUUAAUCCUGCUGGUUGGUCACAAUGGGGAAAUGGUAACUUUGCUCUGGACACGUUGUACUAUGGAGAGUACAAGAAUUUUGGGCCUGGGUCUUCCACCAAGCAAAGGGUUACGUGGAAAGGGUUUCAUGUCAUAACUAGCAGCAUUGAGGCCUCUCGUUUCACUGUUGCCAGCCUUAUUGCCGGUCAGUCAUGGUUGCCAGCCACCGGUGUUCCAUUUAUUUCUGGCCUUUGAAUUUUCCCUAUUUAUGAUGCUUUUUUUAAAUACAUUAAUUUCUUUAUUGAUUCCAUUGGAAUUCUUUGUAAAUUUUAUUACACAUUAAUCUAAAAGAUAUAACACUCUUCCUGAUUUGAG